Molecule: non-coding RNA, 155 nt
Filed under: Cyphomyrmex costatus
Lineage: Eukaryota; Metazoa; Arthropoda; Insecta; Hymenoptera; Formicidae
Source: RNAcentral
AUUCUUUGUAAUCUUGGUGUAUGUCGCGAGUCAAGACAAAUUUCACUGUAAGGCCAAAGAGACAAUAAAUUGGGCAUAAUCAGGCUUCUUUCUUUUAGUUAAUUGACAAGGAGUUUGGUGACUUAUCAAAAUGCCCAUACAAAUCAUUCAUUUGC